AUUGAACGCUGGCGGCAUGCCUUACACAUGCAAGUCGAACGGUAACAGGUCUUCGGAUGCUGACGAGUGGCGAACGGGUGAGUAAUACAUCGGAACGUACCUAGUAGUGGGGGAUAACUACUCGAAAGAGUGGCUAAUACCGCAUGAGAUCUACGGAUGAAAGCAGGGGAUCGCAAGACCUUGUGCUACUAGAGCGGCCGAUGGCAGAUUAGGUAGUUGGUGGGAUAAAAGCUUACCAAGCCGACGAUCUGUAGCUGGUCUGAGAGGACGAUCAGCCACACUGGGACUGGGACACGGCCCAGACUCCUACGGGAGGCAGCAGUGGGGAAUUUUGGACAAUGGGCGAAAGCCUGAUCCAGCAAUGCCGCGUGCAGGAUGAAGGCCUUCGGGUUGUAAACUGCUUUUGUACGGAACGAAAAGCCCCGGGUUAAUACCCUGGGGUCAUGACGGUACCGUAAGAAUAAGCACCGGCUAACUACGUGCCAGCCGCCGCGGUAA
Molecule: ribosomal RNA, 498 nt
Filed under: uncultured bacterium
Lineage: Bacteria
Description: partial 16S ribosomal RNA
Rfam family: Bacterial small subunit ribosomal RNA
Source: RNAcentral